CCAAAAAAAAAAAAAGCAUGUGAACAUCUUCUAGUUCUGAACAGUGCCAUGAAUGGACAGGGAGCUCUUCCCCACCCUGUGCCUCUUUGGGGACAGCACUGCAGAGUGCCACUGCUUACUGCACUAAAACUGUCACUGCUGAUUGAAGCUAAAGACCACUGUGGAAUGCAGAACAGGAGGACAUCCUCUGACAUGUUACUGCAGUCAGGGAAGAUGGGUGGUGUGGGAACAGGAGCUAGGAGAAACCAUGGUCAAGACUUGUCCGAACUUCAGGGAACUUGAAGGAGCAGAGGGAAUCCUACAAAUGACCCUGCCUGAGAUGUAGCCCUACUUGCCCCCACAUAGUGCCAACUCAGCUGAGUCCCUCUCCUGGGAUCCUCUCUUCAGAGAUGCCUGUAUUUGUUGAUUAUCCACCCUAUGCCUGGUCCCUGCAGAAUGCAAGGAAGAGAUGGCCUUGAGCAGUGGCCAAUGCUGGAAGCUACAGAAUGAACCGUGAGGAGUCCAAGGCCACAGGAUGAGGUUUUCCGGACUCUCGGCCCUAGGGACCUGGUUCUCUCCAUGGGUGCAGACCUUAUUUUCUUUAUCCUCUUUUCCCUAGGCUGGCAUGGGCCUUACCUGUAGUUAACAAGUGCUGGCAAGUAAGUGUGUCGCGUGUGUUGUAGAGAGUAAGGUCCAUUAGGAUCCUGCUGCACGAGCCACCCCCUGGGGCCCCUGCCUCUCUGGAUCUCCCAGUCCCUCACUGGACAGCCCUGGCAACUGGAUCCAGCUACCUUAGGGGUGCCCAAGGCGGCUGCCCAUGGGCCCUUCUUACACAGUACAUCCUGGCAGAUGUUAAAGGUGAAACUCCUUUCUCUUCUUCACACUAAAUAUGACUAAUAUCCGUAACUCUUCACCCCUGGCCCUCGACAUACUGAUUAUCCAAUCUGGAGAGGCACAAAAGUAUCUAGAUGUGAUCUGAAUGGGCAGAAACAGGGAUGUGGAUGGAAAUUUGGGGUUUUCUUGCUUGCUUUGGCAGUUGGGGGAUUUGAGUUGUAAUGCUGAUGGCCGCUGGCAUGGCCUCAGGCACUGCAGGAAGAUUCAGAGUUGCUGCCUAUUGCUUCUUUCUUUGGUGUUCUCUUGGCCUUUACAUAGGUGCUAUUUUGAUGUAAAAACCUGCAGCAUAGCCCUCAACAGCACUGUUGUUUCUCCUCAAUGAGCCUGAAAACUCCCUGAGGCAGCUAGCUGGCGGUAAGCACUCUUUAAAUGUUAGCUAGUAUUAUUUGCUUUGUUAUUUUAUUAUUUGAACAGACAAUCAUUUAUGGCAUUUAAUGGGCAUGUACUAUGUGCCAAAAACUGUUAGGUGCAAAUACAGCAGUGAACAGAAUAGACCUGUCCCUGCCUGCCAGAGCUCCCAGGAAACUCUGAGAAGACUUGUUGAUUGAAUGAUAAACCCUGAUUGCACUCACUGUGAUUAACACCUCCAAGACCAGACAUCUUUGGGUACCUUCUGUAUGAUCAACUGGGAACACACCUUCAGGUGCUAGAAUGCUGGAACCUCAAAGAGCUCCCAAGGAAGUGAGGCCCCUAAGCCAGACCUCUGUCCCUGGACUGCUUGGUGAGGGCCUGAUGGAUCUGGGAUUCCUGCAGAAGGUUCUGCUGGCAGAACAGAGCGUGGGGGCUGGAUAAAGCCUUUCACCCUCAAGUAAGAUAACCAGCUGGCCCUGGUUUGCCUAGGACUUCCUCACUUUUUGCAAUGCAAGUCCCAAAUCCUGGGAAACUCACAUUCCUGAGCAGACUGAGACAGUUGGUCACCUUAUCUGCAAGGCCUUUUGUACCUGCAAACCUGCUCUGGAUCACACCGCACCUUGCAUAGCCGGAUUCCUGGAUGCAAGGGAGACUUGGUAGCUGAGGAAGAACCCUGAGCCAGUGCCGGGACAUUCCCAUCAGAGUCGCAAGCUGUGUAGACUGUGCCUGUGUCAACAGCACAGAACUCCUAGCCAUAGCAUGGGAGAGAGUGGAAAGUGCAUUUUCACCUGAGCCUCUGAAAAUAUAGCAACCUGGUCACUUCUGGGUGGUCUAUUACGGGUGGCUUUAAUAAAUAUUUUUUAUUUCUACCUGUAUUUCUUCGUUUUUGUACAACUAAGCCAUGUUCCUUUUAUUUGUGUAUGUUUUCAAUAAAAGAAAGUCAUUGGUGA
Marmota flaviventris (yellow-bellied marmot) is the source of this 2174-nucleotide non-coding RNA. The record is from RefSeq and is a predicted model, not a curated record. NCBI's taxonomy places the organism in Eukaryota, Metazoa, Chordata, Mammalia, Rodentia, Sciuridae.